RNAcentral lists this ribosomal RNA (301 nucleotides) under uncultured bacterium. Its description in RNAcentral is "partial 16S ribosomal RNA". It matches the Rfam family "Bacterial small subunit ribosomal RNA", at positions 509 to 807 of the family's 1533-position model. The record is from RNAcentral.
CAGCAGCCGCGGGAAUACGUAGGUGGCAAGCGUUGUCCGGAAUUAUUGGGCGUAAAGGGCUCGCAGGCGGUUUCUUAAGUCUGAUGUGAAAGCCCCCGGCUCAACCGGGGAGAGUCAUUGGAAACUGGGAAACUUGAGUGCAGAAGAGGAGAGUGGAAUUCCACGUGUAGCGGUGAAAUGCGUAGAGAUGUGGGGGAACACCAGUGGCGAAGGCGACUCUCUGGUCUGUAACUGACGCUGAGGAGCGAAAGCGUGGGGAGCGAACAGGAUUAGAGACCCCAGUAGUCCCUGUCUCUUAUAC